RNAcentral lists this long non-coding RNA (2046 nucleotides) under Schizosaccharomyces pombe (fission yeast). The record is from RNAcentral. Lineage: Eukaryota; Fungi; Ascomycota; Schizosaccharomycetes; Schizosaccharomycetales; Schizosaccharomycetaceae.
UGCAGCGGUCUGGAGGGGAUCUGGGGAAAUCACCGAUGUGGAAGAGGUGGUGGGGGCUUGUUUUGAUACAACAUUAACUUGUUCAGUGGGUGUCUUUGUGGAGGAGUCUACAGCAGCAGGCGACUUGGAGGCGGAGAAGGACAAGGGGGAUGAGACUUCAACAUUGCCACCAUUUUCUUUGGCAUCCUGGGCAAGAAAGGGUGACUGAGCAAUUCGUGGCUUUGUGCGUACUGGCUGUUGGGAUGAUUUGGAUGGUUCCUUUGAUGCAGUGUCUUUGGCAGGAGUAGCGGGCUGAAGAAAGGCUUGCAUAACAUUCUUCACCGUACCAGCCGCUGGCUUUACAUCGACAUUCUCUUCGUCUGAAGUCUCAUUGUUUUGCGGUAAAACCUUCGAUUCUAAGAACGGGGUAUUUUGGGCUUGCUUAAUUCGUUCAGCGAUUGACAACGAAGAGUAUGGUAUUGGAGAAGUCGAUCCUUCACGCUUCUCUGCCUUAACUACCAUUUCGGGUGUGCUUGCUCCCCUAUCGCUAUUUGAAGCACUAGUAGCAAGGGUAUCAGUAUGCGCUGAGGAAGCCUUGCUAGUUGUUGCUUCAACAGCUUUUGUGGUCGAAGAUGAUGCGUCAUCUUCCUCCUUUGCAGUCUCGGAGUCCUUGGUGGUCGAUGUUUUUGAUUCAGUGGGCUUGAUGGGAAACACGCUUGCGUUGCUUGGCGAUUUGGUAUCUUUCAAAGGCGAAAUUGUGGCUUCCACAGAGGAUUUGGUAUCUGCGGCUUUAGUUGACCCGGUAUUUUUCGUUUCUUCCUUUUUGGCACUAUCAAUCGAUAUCUGCCUGGGUGGACGACGGGAUCGUGGAUGAGCACGACCUUUUGUCAAAUGAACCAACGUUGCGGACUCUUGUUCUUUUGCAUCACCAGACAUUCCUUUUAGAUCUUGAAAGCUGGAAAAGCUUCGAGCAGUAUUCAAACCUUCAUCAGCGUCCUCAUUUCCUCGGCUUAUGGGCGGCGUCGUAGUAGCUGGACGAGGUUGAUUUUGCUGCAUCAUCAUUCCUGGCGCCAUCGACCAUUUCGAUGAGGACAUCAAUCCUUCACGAAGCUCUUUAAUCUUAGACGACGACAUGGCUAAUCCGUGUAUUCUUCAAUUGGGCGUAGGAAAUAUUCAAGCUGUAAGUUCAGUGAAAAAACGUUGGCUGUUCAAAACGAUAGGAAAUUAUAAAGGAAUUUGAGAAACUUCUUUUAAAACCAAUCUUCUCCUAAAGAGAACUUUUAAUGCCAACAAAUGUAAUUACCUAAUAAAAGGAAUUACAACUCUAGCAUGCUUUGGGCAAAUUCACAUUUUGUUCUUGAGUAUCGUAACUUCGCUACACUACGUCUCCCCAAUACUGACUUUAUGCCAGGCUCCAAACCCCUAUACCAUAUGGAAAACAUGUUACUUGGUCUUUUCGAGUGUUAUUAAAGAGGCGUAUCUAAAUACCACAAAGGUAUAGUAGGUAGUAUGCUUCAAGUAUAUAUGAAUUAAUUCAUCUUCUAAUUUAUUGAUUUUUCCCUAAAGAAGAACGGCCGCAAAGGCGAAUCAAUCAGCAUGGAACCGAGAGAAGUUGAAACUGAGAAUGACCCCAAGCUGAUUAUUUAAAGCCCUUCAUAAUUGAAUUUCAGGAAUAAUUCUAAAUAACUUGUCAACAUCUGGUAACAAAUUCCUGCAACUAUACAAAGAUAUUUUUCCAUCGAUAUAGUGCGUUCAAGCGUCGAUCCUGAUAACUUGUUUUACGAAUAAUCACUUCGCACACGCUUAGUACUCUUUGAUAGGAAAUCUUUAAUGUAAAUAAACAAGGAAUUUGGCAACUUUGACUAUUUAUUUAUUUAGAGUAGCCAAAAGGAUAUAUAAAGAUUAAUCGUUAACUUUAUGGAAAUUUAUUAUUAAUCGUCAAACAUUUCAAUCCCACACGUUAAGACUCCUCGCCGCUUUUCCAUAAUCAUCCAAUAUAGUGAAUAACUGUGUUGUGCACUAGGCUUGUUUUUGUUUAACAAAUUAUGCCAAAAUUCUUUCUCGUAG